CCGAUGGCCACGGUUCCUCCAGUUACCCAACAACAUGACCUGUGCACUCGAGCUCCAGAACACUGCUUCACGGUUGACCAGAAGGGAUGCUUGGACCAAAAUAUUCACUCAAACAGUGUCAGAGGACAAGACAAGCAACCAAGUGCUGGCUGAGGGGAGAUUCCCGAGAAUCAGCAGGCAGAACACGCCAGCCCUCUGUAUCCGAGCGGACACAGGAAAGAAGGUUUCAUGAAUAGUUUGGGCACACAUGUCCUUAUGUUCCUGAAAAGUUAUCUUUUUUCCCUCCAUGCUUAUUUUCAGCUGUAAUUGGUGCAGGGAUUUGCAUAUCGUAUCUUAUGGAGGAUUUCCUAGAUUAUUUCUUUUUUCACAAUGAAGCCUGGGAAUGUGGUGAAGGUGGAGGGUUGGGUAGGAUUGGAGAAGCUUCUGGAAGAGCUCAGCCCUUCUUUUGGGUCCCUGACAUCUUCAUGGUGCAUAGCAGCCAUGACCUGGCUUAGGAUGUGGUCCAGCCACUGAGACCAGCAUCCUUCUUACAGGGGAGUACGUGCACCUGCUGGUGAGUAUUUGAAACAGCAUCUCAAGCAGGGACAAAUAAUCAGAUCCUUUGUUCUGGUGGAGUCUCUGAUCCUGGGUCUAAUCCCAUGAGUCACGCUUACUCGGAUUUUUGUCUUGGAGGAGACCCUACAAAGUGCGAUGAAUGACAUGAGAAGGAUUGUAGACCCACUGAAGGCAAGAAGAGGGGCCCAAAUCCCACAGAAACAAAAAUGCACUGAGUCUCUGUUAUUAAAGAUAGCUGCUGAAUCCUUAAUCCAGAAUCCUUAAGUCAUGCCGGAGAAUGUCGUUUCAGAAGGAAGCUGGGCGUUCCCAUCAUUAUUCCCCAGAAUGAGGCAAAGCUUUAAAUUUCUCAGAGUAAGCUAGUUGGUUAAAGCUGAUGAGUCAGAAAACACAAAAGCCCCUUCAUCACGAGCGCCCUUCACCCCGGAAAGGCACCGAAGCACCAAAACAAACAAACAAAACCAAAAAAACCCAAAAACAGAAAAUGAAACAAAAGAAACCAAACCCCACAAAACUAAAAACACCGAUAAACAAAACCUAAAAACCCGAAAAGUCAUAUUCCCCGUGACACGUCAAAGGACCUUAUUUUGGGAAAAGGAGAUGUUUUUGUCAAAUCGUCAUCUGCUUUGAAGUGCUCUUUGAGAUCCUCAUCCUGAACGGACUUGUUUCAGAUCCAUUAU
This 1232-nucleotide long non-coding RNA is filed under the name Ursus maritimus (polar bear). RNAcentral's name for it is "lncRNA (ENSUMAG00000019126.1)". The record is from RNAcentral. Lineage: Eukaryota; Metazoa; Chordata; Mammalia; Carnivora; Ursidae.